UAUAAGGACGUCUCUGUAGAGAAAUGGGUCGUUUUAGUUUUAGUUCUCUUUGCAUGUCAUUUCCCGACAUGCACAUCCCUUGUUUGGAGUUCUUAAAAUUAACAAAACUCUUUUUCAAAAGUCCUUAAUGAUGAACUGCCCAAAGGACAGGAUACCAGUCAGCUACAGAGUUUGCAGCGACAGAGGACAGAGGGAAUGCCCUUCAUAACACUAUGGCGUUUAGGACUUUUCACCUAGGAUUCAGUACAAGGAGGCUUCUCCCCAGGGCUGUGUUCAGCCUUGACUGUGGCUCAUGUGAUUCCAGUCUGGCAUUCUGGCAAGUUCUUCGUUCUGGAGGCACAAUGGAUGAAGGUCCAGAUAACAAAGUAGACAGCCCAAAUGACUCUGAAGUUUUGUCCUAGGAGCAACUAUGGUCUGAUGAUCUGAAAUCAUGUUCCAGUAACCACCUCCCACCACCCGUGGUCUCUUUAGCAUUGGUAUCAGAUAAAGGAAGAAGACCUAACAUCUCUGGUUUCAGUGGAGGGAGACAGAGAUGCCUGUCUUUCAAAGCUUCUUGUGAGGAGUCAUGAUGCUGGAAAUUGCUUACCUCCUGUGGUAUGACCAGAGGUAGACUUCUCUGAGGAGUUUACAAGGUCUGAUCUGUUACAGAAUGGGUUGGAAACCUGAGGAACAAAUAGGGAAGUCUGAGCAGAUGUCAAUAAUAAAUAUCAGAUCACUCCCUCAUUUAUGGUAUUUUUUUUCCCCUUUAAUUGAUUGCUAUAUGCUGUGAGCAAGAGCUAAGGGAAUUAAUAAAUGAA
Molecule: non-coding RNA, 797 nt
Organism: Anas platyrhynchos (mallard)
Lineage: Eukaryota; Metazoa; Chordata; Aves; Anseriformes; Anatidae
Source: RefSeq, a predicted model, not a curated record